RNAcentral lists this transfer RNA (89 nucleotides) under Candidatus Woesearchaeota archaeon. Its description in RNAcentral is "tRNA-Lys". It matches the Rfam family "tRNA". Rfam says of the family: Transfer RNA (tRNA) molecules are approximately 80 nucleotides in length. Their secondary structure includes four short double-helical elements and three loops (D, anti-codon, and T loops). Further hydrogen bonds mediate the characteristic L-shaped molecular structure. tRNAs have two regions of fundamental functional importance: the anti-codon, which is responsible for specific mRNA codon recognition, and the 3' end, to which the tRNAs corresponding amino acid is attached (by aminoacyl-tRNA synthetases). tRNAs cope with the degeneracy of the genetic code in two manners: having more than one tRNA (with a specific anti-codon) for a particular amino acid; and 'wobble' base-pairing, i.e. permitting non-standard base-pairing at the 3rd anti-codon position. Lineage: Archaea; Nanobdellati; Candidatus Woesearchaeota. The record is from RNAcentral.
GGGCCGGUAGCUCAGCCUGGUAGAGCACAUCACUUUUAAUGAUGUGGUCGCGAGUUCGAAGCUUUACAAAGAAAAUCUCGUCCGGCCCA